UAAACGUCUCAGUUCGGAUGUAGUCUGCAACUCGACUACAUGAAGCUGGAAUCGCUAGUAAUCGCAGAUCAGAAUGCUGCGGUGGAUACGUUCCCGGGUCUUGUACACACCGCCCGUCACACCAUGGGAGCCGGGAAUGCCCGAAGUCGGUGACCCAACCGUAAGGAGGGAGCCGCCGAAGGCAGGCCUGGUAACUGGGGUGAAGUCGUAACAAGGUAUC
RNAcentral lists this ribosomal RNA (220 nucleotides) under uncultured bacterium. RNAcentral describes it as "partial 16S ribosomal RNA". It matches the Rfam family "Bacterial small subunit ribosomal RNA", at positions 1277 to 1500 of the family's 1533-position model. The record is from RNAcentral.